This 202-nucleotide long non-coding RNA is filed under the name Rosa chinensis. Its description in RNAcentral is "sRNA RchiOBHm_Chr1g0317401". Lineage: Eukaryota; Viridiplantae; Streptophyta; Magnoliopsida; Rosales; Rosaceae. The record is from RNAcentral.
GAGUGCAGUUUAUGUGAAUUUGUGCCUCUUUUGGGGAACAUGGUGUCCGUUGAAUCACUGCAGUUAUGUUUUGUCAUGAAAACCAAAGAGUACUCCAGAAGGAUUAAUGAUAUAUUGUGAAGAUCAAGUAAGGUUUCUCAAGGGGUGUGCACUAAGAGAUGUGCGUAGACAGACCUGAAUCAUCAUCUAUUAGCUGCCUAGC